AGCGAACGCUGGCGGCAGGCCUAACACAUGCAAGUCGAACGAACCUUUCGGGGUUAGUGGCGGACGGGUGAGUAACACGUGGGAACGUGCCUUUAGGUUCGGAAUAACUCAGGGAAACUUGUGCUAAUACCGAAUGUGCCCUUCGGGGGAAAGAUUAAUCGCCUUUAGAGCGGCCCGCGUCUGAUUAGCUAGUUGGUUGAGGUAAUGGCUCACCAAGGCGACGAUCAGUAGCUGGUCUGAGAGGAUGAUCAGCCACAUUGGGACUGAGACACGGCCCAAACGCGUGGGGGGGGCGGGGGGGGGGAAUCUUGGGGAGGGGGCGAAAGCCAGACACGGCCAGGCCGGGAGAAGGAAGAGGGGUUUGGAAUUGGAAAUUUCUUUCCCCGGGGAGGGAAAGAAGGGAACCGGGAAAGAAGACCCGGGUAAAUUUGUG
RNAcentral lists this ribosomal RNA (433 nucleotides) under uncultured bacterium. RNAcentral describes it as "partial 16S ribosomal RNA". It matches the Rfam family "Bacterial small subunit ribosomal RNA", at positions 30 to 507 of the family's 1533-position model. The record is from RNAcentral.